Molecule: unclassified non-coding RNA, 523 nt
Filed under: Exobasidium sp. HN-2021
Lineage: Eukaryota; Fungi; Basidiomycota; Exobasidiomycetes; Exobasidiales; Exobasidiaceae
Description: partial contains 18S rRNA, ITS1, 5.8S rRNA, ITS2 and 28S rRNA
Rfam family: 5.8S ribosomal RNA (bases 156-309)
Source: RNAcentral
GGAUCAUUAUUGAAUUUGAAGAGGGAUCGCUUUCGAGCAUCCUUCGACUCUUUUCUCAUGAUUUACACACCUGUGAACCGUUGCCGAGUCCGCUCGGUGGCAACCUUUACACACACACGUAACAGUAUAGAAAGUAUAAACUAUAAAACAAAAACAACUUUUGACAACGGAUCUCUUGGUUCUCCCAUCGAUGAAGAACGCAGCGAAAUGCGAUAAGUAAUGUGAAUUGCAGAAUUCAGUGAAUCAUCGAAUCUUUGAACGCACCUUGCGCUCCUUGGUAUUCCUUGGAGCAUGCCUGUUUGAGUGUCUUGAAAUUCUCUGUUCCUUUGUUUUUGUUCAUUCGAAAGCGAAGCGAAUCAGGUCCCUGGGCCUGCUUGUGGUUACACAAGCUUGCCUUAAAUACAGUAGCUGGGCUUCAGCAGAGUUGUUAAGUAACAUUGAAAACUCUCGUAAAACGGAGCCUGCUCUCUAAUCGCCGUCACUGGCACCAUUUUUCUAUUUGGCCUCAAAUCAGGUAGGACUA